GAUUUCUGGUUCGGCGCACUUGGCCCGUCUCGGUUUACGGGAUUGCGUGCCGGUGUGCGCCAUCCAUCCUUCGAUGAGAUCAUUGCUGCUCUUUACUGGGUUGGCAGUGACUCUCUCGAUCUUUUACUUUGAAAAAAUUAGAGUGUUUCAAGCAGGCGUUUUGCUAUGAAUACAUUAGCAUGGAAUAAUGAGUUAGGACUUCGGUUCUAUUUUGUUGGUUUCUAGGACUGAAGUAAUGAUUGAUAGGGAUAGUUGGGGGUGCUAGUAUUCAGCGGCCAGAGGUGAAAUUCUUGGAUUCGCUGAAGACUAACUUAUGCGAAAGCAUU
This 326-nucleotide ribosomal RNA is filed under the name Cercomonadidae sp. Its description in RNAcentral is "SSU rRNA". The stretch from base 108 to 326 matches the Rfam family "Eukaryotic small subunit ribosomal RNA", at positions 736 to 955 of the family's 1831-position model. The record is from RNAcentral. Lineage: Eukaryota; Cercozoa; Cercomonadida; Cercomonadidae.